Molecule: ribosomal RNA, 378 nt
Filed under: Serratia marcescens
Lineage: Bacteria; Pseudomonadati; Pseudomonadota; Gammaproteobacteria; Enterobacterales; Yersiniaceae
Description: bacterial SSU rRNA
Rfam family: Bacterial small subunit ribosomal RNA
Source: RNAcentral
UAAGUCCCGCAACGAGCGCAACCCUUAUCCUUUGUUGCCAGCGGUUCGGCCGGGAACUCAAAGGAGACUGCCAGUGAUAAACUGGAGGAAGGUGGGGAUGACGUCAAGUCAUCAUGGCCCUUACGAGUAGGGCUACACACGUGCUACAAUGGCGUAUACAAAGAGAAGCGACCUCGCGAGAGCAAGCGGACCUCAUAAAGUACGUCGUAGUCCGGAUUGGAGUCUGCAACUCGACUCCAUGAAGUCGGAAUCGCUAGUAAUCGUAGAUCAGAAUGCUACGGUGAAUACGUUCCCGGGCCUUGUACACACCGCCCGUCACACCAUGGGAGUGGGUUGCAAAAGAAGUAGGUAGCUUAACCUUCGGGAGGGCGCUUACCA